AACCCAUGGUGAGGGCACCUUCUCAAUAAGUCAUUGUAUCUCUCCCAUGCAUCAUAAAGAGUUUCUAGAUCCAUAUGCUAAAAAAAACAGAUAUCAUUCCUUAAUUU
Non-coding RNA from Gossypium arboreum, 107 nucleotides. The record is from Rfam. Lineage: Eukaryota; Viridiplantae; Streptophyta; Magnoliopsida; Malvales; Malvaceae.